ACAGAUAACACAUAAUCCAGAUGGCUCCUUACGUGUUAAAAAUUGUCACCCCAAUUUCACUCCAAUUUGGAAAAAUAUUGGAGUGACGUUUGAAUAAUCUGAAAUUUUUAGAUUCCUUUUCUAACUUUUUUGGGAGGUUUUGCUUCUCUUGCACAGAUGUCGCUUGCACUUCAGUUGCGUGGUUGCCAAACGUUAUAUCGAAAUAUAUUUCAUUUCAUUAUGAAUAUAUAAAAUUAAAAAUUAUGUAAUUUAUAAACAUGAAAUAGAUAUGGAUGUUAGGUAAUACCGGAUGUUAAAUUAAUAUAUAAAUAUUUAACUUAAUACGUACAUUAUUUUAUUAAUUUAUCGUCACACGUCAUUUACCAGUUGCCUAAUUACGAAAAGUUUCAUAUGAUAUUAACCUCAAAAAUGAUCUUUGAAAACAAACAACAACAAAUAACUCAAAGAAAUAACUACAUACUACAUAAUAAUAACUGAUAAUAAUGACUUUUAAUGGUAUAAAGGCUGAUGAAGUUUUAGACAACCAAUACAAGAUUCAGAACUCGGCAUCGCGAUAAACAAGUAAAAUUGUACAUUCAGGAACUCGUUUAAAUAUUAUAGGUUGAUUGAAGAAUAAUCUACAAUUGAUUAGAGCCUAUGACGAUGCGAAGAUAAUUAAUCACCUAACUUUAAGAAACCAGCCUAAAGAAGUUUACAUGCAUCUCAUCUAACCAUUAUAGGUACAUUUUAUCUUCUAGAUCAGUAGUGAUUUUUCAUAAUUUGAAUGAACUCACAGAUAGCAAUGGGGCACCGCACCGAAGCAGUAUUACAAAAUGUGAAAUAAAACUGUAGUACAUAUUGCUCUAUAAAAUUUAAUAGAAAUAAAUUUAUUUAUGAAAAUUAAUGAAGUUUUAUCUUUCCUAGGAAAAAAAUAACAAUUAUAUUUUGAACAAUUAAUUUAGAACA
Sitophilus oryzae (rice weevil) is the source of this 945-nucleotide long non-coding RNA. RefSeq lists it as uncharacterized. The transcript has 4 exons. The record is from RefSeq and is a predicted model, not a curated record. NCBI's taxonomy places the organism in Eukaryota, Metazoa, Arthropoda, Insecta, Coleoptera, Curculionidae.